Musa acuminata AAA Group (dessert banana) is the source of this 450-nucleotide long non-coding RNA. RefSeq lists it as uncharacterized. The record is from RefSeq and is a predicted model, not a curated record. The transcript has 2 exons. NCBI's taxonomy places the organism in Eukaryota, Viridiplantae, Streptophyta, Magnoliopsida, Zingiberales, Musaceae.
CAGAAAGAUGGGAGAUGGCAAGCUCAAAUAGGCCGAGUUGCUGGUAACAAAGAUUUCUAUCUAGGAACCUUCAGAACCGAGGAAAAAGCAGCAGAAGCCUAUGAUAUUGCUGCUAUCAAGCUAUGUGGCAUGAAUGCAGUGACCAAUUUUCACAUCAGCAACUACUGUGAGAAAGGCCUUGGACAACUAGAAGAUGAAGGGAGGGAUCCUGGUGGCAUCUCCCCUUCUCAACUGAAGCUGUAGCCAUAUUGUUGGAACAGAUGAAGAACUUUGGCAGAUGCAGAGGCCUUUUCCAUUAUCCAUGAAUGUUUGGCCGGUAAUUGUGUUUUUUGUUGAGCUUCCUUCAAUUGAAAUGAGAAAUUUCUUAUGUAACUAAAACAAACAACAUUCUCUGGUCACUGGAAUUAAUUUGAAUGCCACCAGAAGGAGACCGACUCACAGGAUUUCAUA